AUCUUUUGGGGGCUCAUCUGUGUGAUAAUUGGGUUUUCCUACCGCCGUGUGAGAUGCGCCUUGCAUAAACCCUGUUGAACAUCGGGUAGACAGUAUUGUGUAUCUGAGG
Molecule: small nucleolar RNA, 109 nt
Filed under: Fukomys damarensis (Damara mole-rat)
Lineage: Eukaryota; Metazoa; Chordata; Mammalia; Rodentia; Bathyergidae
Description: Small nucleolar RNA U13
Rfam family: Small nucleolar RNA U13
Source: Rfam by way of RNAcentral